This 2927-nucleotide ribosomal RNA is filed under the name Staphylococcus aureus. RNAcentral describes it as "bacterial LSU rRNA". It matches the Rfam family "Bacterial large subunit ribosomal RNA". The record is from RNAcentral. Lineage: Bacteria; Bacillati; Bacillota; Bacilli; Caryophanales; Staphylococcaceae.
AGAUUAAGUUAUUAAGGGCGCACGGUGGAUGCCUUGGCACUAGAAGCCGAUGAAGGACGUUACUAACGACGAUAUGCUUUGGGGAGCUGUAAGUAAGCUUUGAUCCAGAGAUUUCCGAAUGGGGAAACCCAGCAUGAGUUAUGUCAUGUUAUCGAUAUGUGAAUACAUAGCAUAUCAGAAGGCACACCCGGAGAACUGAAACAUCUUAGUACCCGGAGGAAGAGAAAGAAAAUUCGAUUCCCUUAGUAGCGGCGAGCGAAACGGGAAGAGCCCAAACCAACAAGCUUGCUUGUUGGGGUUGUAGGACACUCUAUACGGAGUUACAAAGGACGACAUUAGACGAAUCAUCUGGAAAGAUGAAUCAAAGAAGGUAAUAAUCCUGUAGUCGAAAAUGUUGUCUCUCUUGAGUGGAUCCUGAGUACGACGGAGCACGUGAAAUUCCGUCGGAAUCUGGGAGGACCAUCUCCUAAGGCUAAAUACUCUCUAGUGACCGAUAGUGAACCAGUACCGUGAGGGAAAGGUGAAAAGCACCCCGGAAGGGGAGUGAAAUAGAACCUGAAACCGUGUGCUUACAAGUAGUCAGAGCCCGUUAAUGGGUGAUGGCGUGCCUUUUGUAGAAUGAACCGGCGAGUUACGAUUUGAUGCAAGGUUAAGCAGUAAAUGUGGAGCCGUAGCGAAAGCGAGUCUGAAUAGGGCGUUUAGUAUUUGGUCGUAGACCCGAAACCAGGUGAUCUACCCUUGGUCAGGUUGAAGUUCAGGUAACACUGAAUGGAGGACCGAACCGACUUACGUUGAAAAGUGAGCGGAUGAACUGAGGGUAGCGGAGAAAUUCCAAUCGAACCUGGAGAUAGCUGGUUCUCUCCGAAAUAGCUUUAGGGCUAGCCUCAAGUGAUGAUUAUUGGAGGUAGAGCACUGUUUGGACGAGGGGCCCCUCUCGGGUUACCGAAUUCAGACAAACUCCGAAUGCCAAUUAAUUUAACUUGGGAGUCAGAACAUGGGUGAUAAGGUCCGUGUUCGAAAGGGAAACAGCCCAGACCACCAGCUAAGGUCCCAAAAUAUAUGUUAAGUGGAAAAGGAUGUGGCGUUGCCCAGACAACUAGGAUGUUGGCUUAGAAGCAGCCAUCAUUUAAAGAGUGCGUAAUAGCUCACUAGUCGAGUGACACUGCGCCGAAAAUGUACCGGGGCUAAACAUAUUACCGAAGCUGUGGAUUGUCCUUUGGACAAUGGUAGGAGAGCGUUCUAAGGGCGUUGAAGCAUGAUCGUAAGGACAUGUGGAGCGCUUAGAAGUGAGAAUGCCGGUGUGAGUAGCGAAAGACGGGUGAGAAUCCCGUCCACCGAUUGACUAAGGUUUCCAGAGGAAGGCUCGUCCGCUCUGGGUUAGUCGGGUCCUAAGCUGAGGCCGACAGGCGUAGGCGAUGGAUAACAGGUUGAUAUUCCUGUACCACCUAUAAUCGUUUUAAUCGAUGGGGGGACGCAGUAGGAUAGGCGAAGCGUGCGAUUGGAUUGCACGUCUAAGCAGUAAGGCUGAGUAUUAGGCAAAUCCGGUACUCGUUAAGGCUGAGCUGUGAUGGGGAGAAGACAUUGUGUCUUCGAGUCGUUGAUUUCACACUGCCGAGAAAAGUCUCUAGAUAGAAAAUAGGUGCCCGUACCGCAAACCGACACAGGUAGUCAAGAUGAGAAUUCUAAGGUGAGCGAGCGAACUCUCGUUAAGGAACUCGGCAAAAUGACCCCGUAACUUCGGGAGAAGGGGUGCUCUUUAGGGUUAACGCCCAGAAGAGCCGCAGUGAAUAGGCCCAAGCGACUGUUUAUCAAAAACACAGGUCUCUGCUAAACCGUAAGGUGAUGUAUAGGGGCUGACGCCUGCCCGGUGCUGGAAGGUUAAGAGGAGUGGUUAGCUUCUGCGAAGCUACGAAUCGAAGCCCCAGUAAACGGCGGCCGUAACUAUAACGGUCCUAAGGUAGCGAAAUUCCUUGUCGGGUAAGUUCCGACCCGCACGAAAGGCGUAACGAUUUGGGCACUGUCUCAACGAGAGACUCGGUGAAAUCAUAGUACCUGUGAAGAUGCAGGUUACCCGCGACAGGACGGAAAGACCCCGUGGAGCUUUACUGUAGCCUGAUAUUGAAAUUCGGCACAGCUUGUACAGGAUAGGUAGGAGCCUUUGAAACGUGAGCGCUAGCUUACGUGGAGGCGCUGGUGGGAUACUACCCUAGCUGUGUUGGCUUUCUAACCCGCACCACUUAUCGUGGUGGGAGACAGUGUCAGGCGGGCAGUUUGACUGGGGCGGUCGCCUCCUAAAAGGUAACGGAGGCGCUCAAAGGUUUCCUCAGAAUGGUUGGAAAUCAUUCAUAGAGUGUAAAGGCAUAAGGGAGCUUGACUGCGAGACCUACAAGUCGAGCAGGGUCGAAAGACGGACUUAGUGAUCCGGUGGUUCCGCAUGGAAGGGCCAUCGCUCAACGGAUAAAAGCUACCCCGGGGAUAACAGGCUUAUCUCCCCCAAGAGUUCACAUCGACGGGGAGGUUUGGCACCUCGAUGUCGGCUCAUCGCAUCCUGGGGCUGUAGUCGGUCCCAAGGGUUGGGCUGUUCGCCCAUUAAAGCGGUACGCGAGCUGGGUUCAGAACGUCGUGAGACAGUUCGGUCCCUAUCCGUCGUGGGCGUAGGAAAUUUGAGAGGAGCUGUCCUUAGUACGAGAGGACCGGGAUGGACAUACCUCUGGUGUACCAGUUGUCGUGCCAACGGCAUAGCUGGGUAGCUAUGUGUGGACGGGAUAAGUGCUGAAAGCAUCUAAGCAUGAAGCCCCCCUCAAGAUGAGAUUUCCCAACUUCGGUUAUAAGAUCCCUCAAAGAUGAUGAGGUUAAUAGGUUCGAGGUGGAAGCAUGGUGACAUGUGGAGCUGACGAAUACUAAUCGAUCGAAGACUUAAUCAAAUU